AUUGAACGCUGGCGGCAGGCCUAACACAUGCAAGUCGAGCGGAUGAAGGGAGCUUGCUCCUGGAUUCAGCGGCGGACGGGUGAGUAAUGCCUAGGAAUCUGCCUGGUAGUGGGGGAUAACGUCCGGAAACGGGCGCUAAUACCGCAUACGUCCUGAGGGAGAAAGUGGGGGGUCUUCGGACCUCACGCUAUCAGAUGAGCCUAGGUCGGAUUAGCUAGUUGGUGGGGUAAAGGCCUACCAAGGCGACGAUCCGUAACUGGUCUGAGAGGAUGAUCAGUCACACUGGAACUGAGACACGGUCCAGACUCCUACGGGAGGCAGCAGUGGGGAAUAUUGGACAAUGGGCGAAAGCCUGAUCCAGCCAUGCCGCGUGUGUGAAGAGGGUCUUCGGAUUGUAAAGCACUUUAAGUUGGGAGGAAGGGCAGUAAGUUAAUACCUUGCUGUUUUGACGUUACCAACAGAAUAAGCACCGGCUAACUUCGUG
RNAcentral lists this ribosomal RNA (484 nucleotides) under uncultured bacterium. RNAcentral's name for it is "partial 16S ribosomal RNA". It matches the Rfam family "Bacterial small subunit ribosomal RNA", at positions 30 to 507 of the family's 1533-position model. The record is from RNAcentral.